ACUACGGGUGGCAGCAGUGAGGAAUAUUGGUCAAUGGACGAGAGUCUGAACCAGCCAAGUAGCGUGAAGGAUGACUGCCCUAUGGGUUGUAAACUUCUUUUAUAUGGGAAUAAAGUGUUCCACGUGUGGGAUUUUGUAUGUACCCUAUGAAUAAGGAUCGGCUAACUCCGUGCCAGCAGCCGCGGUAAUACGGAGGAUCCGAGCGUUAUCCGGAUUUAUUGGGUGUAAAGUGUGCGUAGGUGGAUUGUUAAGUCAUUUGUGAAAGUUUGCGGCUCAACCGUAAAAUUGCAGUUGAAACUGGCAGACUUGAGUACAGUAGAGGUAGGCGGAAUUCGUGGUGUAGCGGUGAAAUGCUUAGAUAUCACGAAGAACUCCGAUUGCGAAGGCAGCUUACUAAACUGCCACUGACAUUGAGGCUCGAAAGUGUGGGUAUCAAACAGGAUUAGAUACCCGGGUAGUC
This 460-nucleotide ribosomal RNA is filed under the name uncultured bacterium. RNAcentral's name for it is "partial 16S ribosomal RNA". It matches the Rfam family "Bacterial small subunit ribosomal RNA", at positions 338 to 795 of the family's 1533-position model. The record is from RNAcentral.